UACAGAGGUCUCAAGCGUUGUCCGGAAUCAUUGGGCGUAAAGGGCGCGUAGGUGGCCCGGUCAGUUCGUGGUGAAAGCGCGGGGCUCAACCCUGCGUCGGCCAUGAAUACUGCCGCGGCUGGAGCACUGUAGAGGCAGGCGGAAUUCCGGGUGUAGCGGUGGAAUGCGCAGAUAUCGGGAGGAACACCGGUGGCGAAGGCGGUUCUCUGGGCCUGACCUGACGCUGAGGAGCGAAAGCGUGGGGAGCGAACAGG
This 254-nucleotide ribosomal RNA is filed under the name uncultured bacterium. Its description in RNAcentral is "partial 16S ribosomal RNA". It matches the Rfam family "Bacterial small subunit ribosomal RNA", at positions 524 to 776 of the family's 1533-position model. The record is from RNAcentral.